GUGUCAGCAGCCGCGGUAAUACGUAGGUGGCAAGCGUUGUCCGGAAUUAUUGGGCGUAAAGGGCGCGUAGGCGGUCCCUUAAGUCAGAUGUGAAAUCCCGAGGCUCAACUUCGGGCGUGCAUUUGAAACUGGGGGACUAGAGUGCAGGAGAGGUAAGUGGAAUUCCUAGUGUAGCGGUGAAAUGCGUAGAUAUUAGGAGGAACACCAGUGGCGAAGGCGACUUACUGGACUGUAACUGACGCUGAGGCGCGAAAGCGUGGGGAGCAAACAGGAUUAGAAACCCCUGUAGUCC
RNAcentral lists this ribosomal RNA (292 nucleotides) under uncultured bacterium. RNAcentral describes it as "partial 16S ribosomal RNA". It matches the Rfam family "Bacterial small subunit ribosomal RNA", at positions 505 to 796 of the family's 1533-position model. The record is from RNAcentral.